GAUGAACGCUGGCGGCGUGCCUAAUACAUGCAAGUCGAGCGAACGGACGAGAAGCUUGCGCCUCUGAUGUUAGCGGCGGACGGGUGAGUAACACGUGGAUAACCUACCUAUAAGACUGGGAUAACUUCGGGAAACCGGAGCUAAUACCGGAUAAUAUUUUGAACCGCAUGGUUCAAAAGUGAAAGACGGUUUUGCUGUCACUUAUAGAUGGAUCCGCGCUGCAUUAGCUAGUUGGUAAGGUAACGGCUUACCAAGGCAACGAUGCGUAGCCGACCUGAGAGGGUGAUCGGCCACACUGGAACUGAGACACGGUCCAGACUCCUACGGGAGGCAGCAGUAGGGAAUCUUCCGCAAUGGGCGAAAGCCUGACGGAGCAACGCCGCGUGAGUGAUGAAGGUCUUCGGAUCGUAAAACUCUGUUAUUAGGGAAGAACAUAUGUGUAAGUAACUGUGCACAUCUUGACGGUACCUAAUCAGAAAGCCCCGGCUAACUACGUG
RNAcentral lists this ribosomal RNA (497 nucleotides) under uncultured bacterium. RNAcentral describes it as "partial 16S ribosomal RNA". It matches the Rfam family "Bacterial small subunit ribosomal RNA", at positions 28 to 507 of the family's 1533-position model. The record is from RNAcentral.